Molecule: long non-coding RNA, 156 nt
Organism: Octopus sinensis (East Asian common octopus)
Lineage: Eukaryota; Metazoa; Mollusca; Cephalopoda; Octopoda; Octopodidae
Exons: 3
Source: RefSeq, a predicted model, not a curated record
GUAUGUAUGUAUGUGUGUGUGUGUAUAAAGAGUGGGGAGAGAAAGGGGGAGAGGAAGGGAAGCGUAAAUGCACAGAAAAAACGCCACGGUAAGAAAUUGCUGACAAAACAAAUUCUUGUUUUGCGUUCAAAGUGAAUGCAAUAUUGAAAGCUAUGG